GCUGGGCGUGGUGGUGGGUGCCUGUAAUCCCAGCUACUCGGAGGCUGAGGCAGAAGAAUUGCUUGAACCCGGGAGACAGAGGUUGCAGUGAGCUGAGAUCAUGCCACUGCACUCCAGCCCGGGUGACAGAGCGAGACCCUGUCUCAA
This is an unclassified non-coding RNA of Pongo abelii (Sumatran orangutan), 147 nucleotides long. It matches the Rfam family "Metazoan signal recognition particle RNA". Rfam says of the family: The signal recognition particle (SRP) is a universally conserved ribonucleoprotein. Lineage: Eukaryota; Metazoa; Chordata; Mammalia; Primates; Hominidae. The record is from Ensembl.